Molecule: ribosomal RNA, 463 nt
Filed under: uncultured bacterium
Lineage: Bacteria
Description: bacterial SSU rRNA
Rfam family: Bacterial small subunit ribosomal RNA
Source: RNAcentral
GACGAACGCUGGCGGCGUGGAUUAGGCAUGCAAGUCGAACGGUAUCAUCCUUUCGGGGGUGAGAGAGUGGCGAACUGGUGAGUAACACGUAGGUUAUCUACCCUCAAGACGGGGACAACCCAGGGAAACUUGGGCUAAUACCGGAUGUGAGCAACUUUUAGUUGUUUGAAAGGUGGCGUAAGCUGUCGCUUGGGGAUGAGCCUGCGUCCUAUCAGCUAGUUGGUGAGGCAACGGCUCACCAAGGCGACGACGGGUAGCCGGCCUGAGAGGGUGUCCGGCCACACUGGAACUGAGACACGGUCCAGACUCCUACGGGAGGCAGCAGUGGGGAAUUUUGGGCAAUGGGGGAGACCCUGACCCAGCGACGCCGCGUGAGGGACGAAGGCCCUUGGGUCGUAAACCUCUUUUGCAGGGGAAGAAGAAGAUGACGGUACCUUGCGAACAAGUCCCGGCUAACUACGUG